Molecule: ribosomal RNA, 253 nt
Filed under: uncultured bacterium
Lineage: Bacteria
Description: partial 16S ribosomal RNA
Rfam family: Bacterial small subunit ribosomal RNA
Source: RNAcentral
UACGUAGGGUGCAAGCGUUGUCCGGAAUUAUUGGGCGUAAAGAGCUCGUAGGCGGUUUGUCGCGUCGGUUGUGAAAACCCAAGGCUCAACCUUGGGCCUGCAAUCGAUACGGGCAGACUAGAGUACUGGAGAGGGUAACGGAAUUCACGGUGUAGCAGUGAAAUGCGUAGAUAUCGUGAGGAACACCAGAGGCGAAGGCGGUUACCUGGACAGUUACUGACGCUCAGGCACGAAAGCAUGGGGAGCAAAAGGG